UUUGAACUACAUUAGCCUACUAUCAAAAUCUUUUUCCAUUUUCAAACAUUUUUUUAAUAAAGCUACAGGGAGCCACUAGAUGUCGUUAAAGAGCCGCAUGCGGCUCUGGAGCCGCGUGUUGCCGACCCCCGAUCUAGGGUCAUCCCACAAUUAAAAAUAUGUAAGGUUGAGUUGAAGGUGCUGACACCCAGAUUUGGAUUUGUUGUUCCACAGUCGCUGCCAACUGCUCGUCAGGGAAGGGUUAAAUGCAGAGAACAAAUUUUGCUGGACGUUAUGUACAAAACUUCUAUGAAUAAUCAACAAUAUUUUUCAAUCAUGACAACCAAACAGCGCCAUUCAUCCAUCCAGUUAUUUUCCGAUCCGCUUCAUCCUCACAAGAGUCGCGGGUGUGCUGGAGCUUAUCCCAGCCUUCUUCGGGCUGCAGGCGGGGGACGCCCUGAACCGGUUGCCAACCAAUCGCAAUGCACACAGAGAGGAACAACCAUCUGCGCUCACACUCACGCUUGGGGACAAUUUAGAGUGUUCAAUUAACCUGCCACGCAUGGUUUUGGAAAUGUGGGAAGAAACUGGAGUACCCGGAGAAAACCCACGUAGGCGCGAGGGAGAACAUGCAAACUCCACGACCUCUGCACUGUGAGGUUGACGCGCUAACCACUGGAACGCCGGACCGCCCAGCGCAAAUCAAUCUUCAAUAAUAAUCAGCUUCACACACACACACACACACACACACAGUCAUACGUCAUACACAGGCCCAGUGAGGGUCAGGGUGAGGUUGUCUCACUGAGAUAAGCCAAAUGGGCUGUUGCGCUUGGAUGGAUGAAAAUUCGAUGCAAUUUGGCGCACUUCGCAGUAAGUCCUUCAUGUGACUUUUUCAAAGAGGCGCCACAUGCAUUUGCGAUCACUUGAUGCUUGGAUAAACUGAUUUGUGCAAUUCUAAAAUCUGACCGAGUCGGGAUGAAUAUAAUGCAGCGGCCGUUCAUUGAUUAACCUCAGAAAGUCCCCCGGCUGCAUUAUUAGCAGCUUGUGCAAGCUCAUUAGCGGAGGAGAUGUUUUUCAUGUCUUGAGACUUGGCGUGUGACACAGCGGACAGCGCACCAACUGUGACGCUUUAAAUGGAUCCACUAACCUCAUUUAAGAGGGCUUCCUCUCCCCCUGACACUUGCGCCGCUGGCGUGUUAAGAUGAUAAUGAAUUUAAAGAACACUUAUGACGAAUAUGUCAGGCUUUUACCCUUUAGAAAGGCGACGGACUCACUGGAGCCGUAGCUCCGGUCUGUCCUGGGCAUCCGUCUCGGCCCCGCUUUAUCCGCCGAUACAGGUCUGGACGAAAGGGAUAAUGGGAUGUCCAAUCACAGAAAUGCGAUUUCCAUUGACCGCAGCUUCGUAAGUGAGUCGCAGAGGGGUCUUAACAAAUUGGAUUUGGCCAUUGGAUGUGAAAAAUACAGGGCGCCUGUAUAUGUGUGUGUGUGUGUGUGUGCGUGUGUAUCAUCAGCGGCGGCCGCAACGUGUCGCUAAAUUGAGGCCAAAUGUGUGUGUCUUCUCCACAUAACCUUGUACGGCAUAAUGGGCUGAAUAAGAAGCACACUUCUGCUUUUAUCUCCUCAGUUCUUCCCUUUAUAUUCAGUUUGAGCCACAGGUGACGACAACUACAAAUGGCCGUUUUAUAGGAGGACUACAGGACCGAGGAUUAUAACGCCGCUUGAUACAUCACGACCUAUCACAGAAAUCGCCACAAUCUAUGCUGUGUAUGCCCACUAGAGCAUCAACAACAUUAAAGAUACUUGAGCCACCCAAGUAAUAUUUCACAAGGGCACUAGAAGGAAAAUCAUUGAUGUAUCGCACUUCAUGUCCAGUAUGGUAAACCCAUGGAACAUUUCAUCUCAAAGAUGAAAUACCGUGCAAAAAAAACCAACAAAACAAAAUAAGACAAUCACUUUUCAGUUCAUUUAAAGAUUGAUUAAAAAGUGCUGACAAAAAGUCGGGGUUAAUUACCCAGUUACCAUCUCUGGAGCUUGCUGAUGUCUUCUGUUUAUCCUCCUUGGGGGGGGAAGGGUAAGUGGUGGGUGUAUAUUUAUGCAUUUUCAGAGCACUUCAUUUGCCACUUAAUCACCAUUGAGGGGAAACGUCUAUAAUAUUACUGAACGAGGAGAUCAAAAAGUGUGAGGGAAAAAAAAGACCCAAAGACCUCCAGAAUUUCACUUCAAGCUGACUAAUAGUCAUUCUAAAUGUGGCAAAGCAGACAUUAAAGAAACCGGGGACCUUACUUAAACGAGCCAAUUGACUUUACGGCGCAAAGUACGAGGCACAAGUUCAGGCCCAUUUACUUUACAUUAUGUACAAUUUCUAUCCAAUCCAUCCAUGGGCACAAUUAUGAACAUUUGUGCAAGUGACACUGUUUAAUUUUCACAGUUUUUAAACAAACCCUGAAAAAAAAAACAUCUAUUCAUAUAUUUGUUCCAAAGCGGUGUUUAAACGAUGCGUCUUCCUAUCCCAUUCAAUGGAGCCAGCAACUUCUUUAAUCAGCCGCCGUUCUCCCGAGUAAUGCGCAACCGUACGAACCCUUGAACUUAAAUAAGUGGAAUCGUGCUUACUUGAAAACGCAGGCCUUUUCCCGUAGGAUUGGUUCCUAUUUGCACAUGGUUAUGUUCUCGUCAAUCUGAGUAAAUAACCACGACCACGGAAACACUUUAUUUCUGACGCAUUCAACAUUUCGCUUUGUGGCUGUAUUGAACAACGGAACAAGAAGGACAGUGUGAAUUUACUGGAAAUGUCUCUAUUCUAAGUGUUAAUUAGUGAGCUUCGGGGGGGGCUUUAUGGCUUUGUGGAAGCGCUUCUUGUUUUAAGCCAUUUUAGUAUUGUUGACGCUUGUUUUCCGAGGCCCUAAUAGAAAAAAGUUGCAAAAGUUCGUAUUUGAGUGGGUGUUGACAACAAGUAACUCUUAAGUAAUUCCUCAUAAGUCUCUCAAAAAUCUCAAAUUUGAACGCAGCGUGUGCCAUUUGAUGCUCUUGAUCUCCGUUUGACGAAUUAGAGAAUUAUUUCCAGAGUUUCCUAACAAGAAAAUAUGAACACGGUACCAUGUGUGAAAAAGGGAAGACGAACAUAGAUUACGUCUGGCCAAAAUCAGCGACACUGUUCCAAUUGUAGUGACUUGUUGUGCCUGAGGGAGAACAGCAUUAAGUUGAAGACGAGCGACUGUUGCUCAUUCGUUAUUUUGAUUCUUAUUUAUUCUCACCUCUGCUUGCUUGACUCUCAAUUCUGUGCUGUCUUUCAUAGCUGCAAGCAGCACAAGCAAAAAAAACAAAACAAAAAUCAUUUGCAUGAGCCGAAUUUAAAUGUACAGUGGCGGCUAGUAGGUCAGUAGCAUAGUUCUUUUUUGUAUAAAUAAUUGUUUUCGCUUUUCUCUCCAACACUUUGUCCAUAGGAGCAGCAAAUGCUGUGAUACAACCUUUUCGGGGGGUGGGGGGGGGAUAUACCUCUCAUAUGUGACGUCGCAUCAUUCACGCCACUACUGCACGUCACACACAAGCCUCUUUUAUUUUCUUAGAUUCCUCCUUCCUAUUUUUGCCCCCAUUGCUAGCAUGCCGAACAACCUUUUGUGAAUGAAGGACUUUUCUUGGCCCUCUUCCCUUCAAAGUGCAGGAAAUAAGCAUGUUGCUAGCAUUGGGACCAUUGUUGCCAUUUUUGCUAGUCGAUUUUUGGGAAAAAAACAGUUGCUAGCGGGGUCGGAAAAGUUGCUAAAUAGGCUAUUGCUAAAGCAUGGCUUCCCAGUGGUUAGCGCGACAACCUCACAGUACAGAGGUACCGGGUUCAAUUCUAGCCCCGGCCUCCAUGUGUGGAGUUUGCAUGUUCUCCCCGGGCCUGCGUGGGUUUUCUCCGGGUACUCCGGUUUCCUCCCACAUUCCAAAAACAUGCAUGGCAGGCUGAUUGAACACUCUAAAUUGUCCCAAGGUGUGAAUGCGAGUGUGGAUGGCUGUUCGUCUGUGUGUGCCCUGUGAUUGGCUGGCAACGGGUUCAGGGUGUCCCCGGCCUAUGCCUGAAGACGGUUGGGAUAGGCUCCAGCACCCCCCGCAACCUUUGUGAGGAUAAGCGGAUCGGAAAAAAUGGAUGGAUAGAUCGAUGGAUGGAUAAAGCACGGCAAGAUUGACAAAAAGUCAGACACAGGUUGAGCUCUUGCUUGCUACCUCACCUGCACAAGCAUUCAGAUGUGUGUUUUUAAGAAAAGAAAACAAAAUAAAAUCACUGCAUAUUUUACGUCUUACUUUGAGUUCAGAGUCAUUCUGAGGGCUGGUCAGAGACUGACGGAUUUGUACUUUGCCCAGGUCUGGUGUAGGCUGCAGUGGAUUUUACGUUCGGGCUGUUUUGGAGGUUACGGCUCUCGAUCUUCACGCUCCAUCCCGCUUUUGACCUCUUUCUGUCUUGUCUCAGUCGCUCUUUCUCCUCCACAUUCACAUCCCCGUCGUCCGUCUGUCAGCACUUUGCCAGUGGCGGUGUGAGACGUGCCUCCGCGCCAGCUUUUGCCAGCUCAUAUCGUGACCUCAGGCAUCGCCACCCCAGACUCGGCGUGCCAAAGCCUCAGUGGGGUACUGCUGCACCGUGCCGAGUCCUUUCCUGUUUCUCUGGACUGUUCUCAGUUGUAGUUGCCUGAUGUAUGGGACAUGGUGCAAACAAAGUACCCUAGAAAGGAUUGCGCCUACUCUUAGAGCUUCCACUAUUUUCUUUAUUUGGAGGGUCUAGGAUUUCAAAAAUGCGGGGUAAAAAGUAACACGGUAAAGCGACCAUUCACAAUUUCCCCCGAAAUGAUCUACGGAAGCAAAUCAUGUCCACUAGGACUAUUGCCGGCACGAGCAAACAUUUUUAUAGCGUGUUGAGAUAAUGCUAUGAUUAAAACGUGUGUCAACAGCCAUUUUAUCACCUCAACGUCCGGGUCAGUGAGUCUCCCGUGGUUCAGGAUGGAAGGGUGGAGUUGACCGUUUCGAGGAUGAGCUGAGGAUGAAACGGCGGAUCAUGUCCCUAUUAGCGGCCAGGCCCAACAUUAAUAUAAUACUCCGCUCCCCGCAGCCUAUCCUCACCAAGCUCCCAUCCUGAGAGCUCAUGUGGGAGCGCUGACUCAGGUGACUGGAUCUUAAACUCCAUCCCCUUCUCCACCCUCUAGGGGAGGGGGAGGGGGGUGACCUUGCCGCCAUCCACUGAAAGGAAAAGGGGGUGGGCCCGAGGGCAGCCAGACGUGGGUGAAGAUCGGCCUCAGCCCCUCAUUAGUCCAGGCCGGACAGCUCAAGAAAAGUGCGCUAAUUACUCCGCUAACAAUGCCCUUGCCGUUCAUGGCUCGCAGCGGCCGACGUGACGCAAGGAUAAUAAACCUCUAACCUCCCCGAGGAGUUCACGAUAGUAUUAUGAUUAUUUUGAGUGACCCAUCGAGGGAGGGCGGCAAUGAGUUUGGCUGCAGCGUUACGCAUCGUUUGUUAGCGGGAAUCUCACGGACGGAAAGAUGUUUGUUAUGAUUGUAAAACGUUUGCAGUUCAUGGGGCCACUCAAGGCUCUCCUAUCUUAGGUGACCGUCUGACUGUUUACUGAGUCAUUGCUUCUGUGUGACUGAAAAAUAACCGUCGGAGGCCAGCAUUAGGCCCUCAACGCUCACCUUCAUCUUUUCUGUUAGCGUGUGGAAAACAGCCUGGCGGCCCCGCAGCCUGACAUUACGGCGCUAGCCUGUAAUCAUGAGGCUUUAAAAAAAAAAAAAAAAAAAUCCAGCAGCCGCAAACAGUGUGGCAUCGUCAUCGUGGUCGCAGCUAAGAACCAUUCACCACUUCUGUCCCAUAAACGCUGCUUUGCCGAGUCACAGCAGACCCCCUUAAGAGACUGCUCUGCUUUUAAUCAUCUUGCGAGCUGACAUGUCAUGCUUUGCGACAUAUGAGGAUAAGUUCAAAAUCAAAAACAUGGGGCAAAAAAACAAAAAAGCCUUUUUAAGGUUUAUUUGGGGUGACGAAAUGAGAGACUAAUGAAUAUAUAGACUUAGCAUUUUGGAAUGUCAGCUAAAAGAAAAAAAAAUCAAGCCUCUGCUUCCACAAGCUGUUUGCCAUUAAGUGUGACGACACUUCCACUAGACGGCUGCUACA
Molecule: long non-coding RNA, 6108 nt
Organism: Hippocampus zosterae (dwarf seahorse)
Lineage: Eukaryota; Metazoa; Chordata; Actinopteri; Syngnathiformes; Syngnathidae
Exons: 2
Source: RefSeq, a predicted model, not a curated record